This 253-nucleotide ribosomal RNA is filed under the name uncultured bacterium. RNAcentral describes it as "partial 16S ribosomal RNA". It matches the Rfam family "Bacterial small subunit ribosomal RNA", at positions 524 to 776 of the family's 1533-position model. The record is from RNAcentral.
UACGAAGGGGGCUAGCGUUGCUCGGAUUUACUGGGCGUAAAGGGCGCGUAGGCGGACAGUUAAGUUGGGGGUGAAAGCCCGGGGCUCAACCUCGGAAUUGCCUUCAAUACUGGCUGUCUUGAGUGUGAGAGAGGUGUGUGGAACUCCGAGUGUAGAGGUGAAAUUCGUAGAUAUUCGGAAGAACACCAGUGGCGGAGGCGACACACUGGCUCACUACUGACGCUGAGGCGCGAAAGCGUGGGGAGCAAACAGG